UCCCGCAACGAGCGCAACCCUUAUCCUUGUUUGCCAGCACAUAAUGGUGGGAACUCCAGGGAGACUGCCGGUGAUAAACCGGAGGAAGGUGGGGACGACGUCAAGUCAUCAUGGCCCUUACGAGUAGGGCUACACACGUGCUACAAUGGCAGAUACAGAGGGCAGCGAAGCUGCGAAGUGGAGCGAAUCCCUUAAAGUUUGUCGUAGUCCGGAUUGGAGUCUGCAACUCGACUCCAUGAAGUCGGAAUCGCUAGUAAUCGUGGAUCAGAAUGCCACGGUGAAUACGUUCCCGGGCCUUGUACACACCGCCCGUCACACCAUGGGAGUGGGCUGCACCAGAAGUAGAUAGCUUAACCUUCGGGAGGGCGUUUACCACGGUGUGGUUCAUGACUGGGGUGAAGUCGUAACAAGGUAGCCCUAGGGGAACCUGGGGCUGGAUCACCUCCUUA
Molecule: non-coding RNA, 449 nt
Filed under: Salinivibrio sp. KP-1
Lineage: Bacteria; Pseudomonadati; Pseudomonadota; Gammaproteobacteria; Vibrionales; Vibrionaceae
Description: Bacterial small subunit ribosomal RNA
Rfam family: Bacterial small subunit ribosomal RNA
Source: Rfam by way of RNAcentral